AUUGAACGCUGGCGGCAUGCCUUACACAUGCAAGUCGAACGGCAGCACGGGAGCAAUCCUGGUGGCGAGUGGCGAACGGGUGAGUAAUGUAUCGGAACGUGCCCAGUCGUGGGGGAUAACGCAGCGAAAGCUGUGCUAAUACCGCAUACGAUCUAUGGAUGAAAGCGGGGGAUCGCAAGACCUCGCGCGAUUGGAGCGGCCGAUAUCAGAUUAGGUAGUUGGUGGGGUAAAGGCCCACCAAGCCUGCGAUCUGUAGCUGGUCUGAGAGGACGAACAGCCACACUGGAACUGAGAACCGGCCCAGACUCCUACGGGAGGCAGCAGUGGGGAAUUUUGGACAAUGGGCGCAAGCCUGAUCCAGCAAUGCCGCGUGCAGGAUGAAGGCCUUCGGGUUGUAAACUGCUUUUGUACGAGACGAAAAGACUCGCUCUAAUACAGUGGGUACAUGACGGUAUCGUAAGAAUAAGCACCGGCUAACUACGUGCCAGCCGCCGCGGUAA
This 500-nucleotide ribosomal RNA is filed under the name uncultured bacterium. Its description in RNAcentral is "partial 16S ribosomal RNA". It matches the Rfam family "Bacterial small subunit ribosomal RNA", at positions 30 to 523 of the family's 1533-position model. The record is from RNAcentral.